This 342-nucleotide unclassified non-coding RNA is filed under the name soil metagenome. Its description in RNAcentral is "partial contains 5.8S ribosomal RNA, internal transcribed spacer 2, and large subunit ribosomal RNA". The stretch from base 1 to 120 matches the Rfam family "5.8S ribosomal RNA", at positions 35 to 154 of the family's 154-position model. The record is from RNAcentral.
GAUGAAGAACGUAGCAAAAUGCGAUAAGUAGUGUGAAUUGCAGAAUUCAGUGAAUCAUCGAAUCUUUGAACGCACAUUGCGGCCAUAGGUAUUCCUUUGGCCAUGCCUGUUCGAGCGUCAUUUACACCCUCAAGCCUAGCUUGGUGUUGGGCGUCUGUCCCGCCGUUCUCGCGCGCGGACUCGCCUCAAAGUCAUUGGCGGCGGUCGUGCCGGCCCCCUCGCGCAGCACAUUUGCGCUUCUCGGAGGCCCGGCGGAUCCGCGCUCCAGCAAGACCUUUCACGACUUGACCUCGGAUCAGGUAGGGAUACCCGCUGAACUUAAGCAUAUCAAUAAGCGGAGGA